UCGUCUAGAUCUUGCGGUGCAGGACUAGUAGAAGCUUUGUUGUUGUUUUUGUUUUUCUCAUCUUCACGUUGCUAUAUAAAUAAGCAUACUGGAAAUUAUUAAAUAGCUGAAAUUGAGGAUAAUAACAUUCUAAUUCAUGCAAGAAUGUAGACUGAAGAUAAGUCUGGGGCACUGUUUUGAAAAUCAGAAAAUUAUGUAAAAUUUACUAAUAUUUGAAUUUAUAUUUGAACAUUUGUAAGAUUCGCUGUAACCCCCUAUAAGUUCGAGGUUAUGCAUCCCUAGCAUUGAAAUGGCAGAAGAAAGCAAUCAGACAUGCAUCUGUUUUUUGAGAGGCAUUAUGAUAAGUAUCAGAGAAACAUCCUACAAAGUAUCUUGGUCACUCUCCUCAUUUCACUUAUGUGACACAUCUGACCAUUUGACUGUUUUUAAUUGCAGACACUACCCAAGAAUUAUGAUAACAGAAAGCCUAUGUUAGAAGUUUUUCUGUAUUUGAACAGUUUAUUGUAUUUUAAGUCUCUAAUUCGCAUUAUUCCGUUGCCUUCAGAAAAAUGAAAAUAUAACUGGCAUAAGUGAAUUUGGGAAAAUCCCAUCCAUGAUGUACUUCUUACCUCUUUGGAAUUCUUUACCUAUGAUUCUUAUUGUCUCAAAUGUGGAAUUCACACUGCUCAGCUCUGCGUUGGCAUCUUGGUAUGCUUCAGCCACAGCACUGAGGUGCAUUGGACUACAACACCUGUAACCCCAGCCAGCUGCUGAAGACUUAGCUGCAACAGUCAGAGGAGCUGCAUGCUGAUAAUAUAAUCUUGCCAGCCAAA
This is a long non-coding RNA of Sceloporus undulatus (fence lizard), 812 nucleotides long. RefSeq lists it as uncharacterized. Lineage: Eukaryota; Metazoa; Chordata; Lepidosauria; Squamata; Phrynosomatidae. The transcript is spliced from 3 exons. The record is from RefSeq and is a predicted model, not a curated record.